Molecule: transfer RNA, 75 nt
Filed under: Chloroflexi bacterium ADurb.Bin222
Lineage: Bacteria; Bacillati; Chloroflexota
Description: tRNA-Pro
Rfam family: tRNA
About the family: Transfer RNA (tRNA) molecules are approximately 80 nucleotides in length.
Source: RNAcentral
CGGGGCGUAGCGCAGUUUGGUAGCGCGCACGGUUCGGGACCGUGAGGUCCAGGGUUCAAAUCCCUGCGCCCCGAC